This 198-nucleotide unclassified non-coding RNA is filed under the name uncultured fungus. RNAcentral's name for it is "sequence contains ITS1". Lineage: Eukaryota; Fungi. The record is from RNAcentral.
UUAAGUAUUAUAUAGUACUCAGACGACACUAAUAUUCAGGGUUUGGGGUCCUCUGGCGGGCGCUCCCCCGCCGGGGCGGGGGCGCGGCUAGGCCUCGCGGCCCGCCAAAGCAACAAACAUCAUAUUCAAGGGUGGGCGAUCCUACCCGUGAGGGCAGGGAACACUGUAAUGAUCCUUCCGCAGGUUCACCUACGGAAA